Molecule: ribosomal RNA, 445 nt
Filed under: uncultured bacterium
Lineage: Bacteria
Description: partial 16S ribosomal RNA
Rfam family: Bacterial small subunit ribosomal RNA
Source: RNAcentral
GUGAGGAAUAUUGGACAAUGGGCGCAAGCCUGAUCCAGCCAUGCCGCGUGCAGGAAGACGCAUCUAUGGUGUGUAAACUGCUUUUGUACGGGAAGAAACACUCCCUCGUGAGGGAGCUUGACGGUACCGUAAGAAUAAGGAUCGGCUAACUCCGUGCCAUCAGCCGCGGUAAUACGGAGGAUCCAAGCGUUAUCCGGAAUCAUUGGGUUUAAAGGGUCCGUAGGCGGUUUAAUAAGUCAGUGGUGAAAGCCCAUCGCUCAACGAUGGAACGGCCAUUGAUACUGUUAGACUUGAAUUACAAGGAAGUAACUAGAAUAUGUAGUGUAGCGGUGAAAUGCUUAGAUAUUACAUGGAAUACCAAUUGCGAAGGCAGGUUACUACUUGUGGAUUGACGCUGAUGGACGAAAGCGUGGGGAGCGAACAGGAUUAGAAACCCUGGUAGUCC